AUUGAACGCUGGCGGCAUGCUUUACACAUGCAAGUCGAACGGUAACGGGCCUUCGGGUGCUGACGAGUGGCGCACGGGUGAGUAAUGCAUCGGAACGUACCCAGAGGUGGGGGAUAACGCAGCGAAAGCUGUGCUAAUACCGCAUGUGAUCUGAGGAUGAAAGCGGGGGACCGAGCAGCAAUGUUUGGCCUCGCGCCUUUGGAGCGGCCGAUGUCGGAUUAGCUAGUUGGUGGGGUAAAGGCCUACCAAGGCGACGAUCCGUAGCUGGUCUGAGAGGACGACCAGCGACACUGAGACUGAGACACGGCCCAGACUCCUACGGGAGGCAGCAGUGGGGAAUUUUGGACAAUGGGCGCAAGCCUGAUCCAGCAAUGCCGCGUGCGGGAAGAAGGCCUUCGGGUUGUAAACCGCUUUUGGCAGGAACGAAACGGUGUCCGCUAAUACCGGGCGCUAAUGACGGUACCUGCAGAAUAAGCACCGGCUAACUACGUG
Molecule: ribosomal RNA, 492 nt
Filed under: uncultured bacterium
Lineage: Bacteria
Description: partial 16S ribosomal RNA
Rfam family: Bacterial small subunit ribosomal RNA
Source: RNAcentral